CAUACAUUUCGUAAAAGGGAAAAUCCGGUGAGGUUGAGCUAUUUUAGAGUUUCCGCUACAUUUUGUUAAAGGACAAAUCCAAUGAGCUGGAGCUAUUACCGUUCCCGCUACAUUUUGUAAAAGGGAAAAUCCGGUGAAGUCGAUCUAUUUUAGCGUUCCCGCUACAUUUUGUAAAAGAACAAAUCCGGUAAGGUCGGGCUAUUUUAGCAUUCCCGUUACACUUU
Long non-coding RNA from Bradysia coprophila, 224 nucleotides. NCBI's taxonomy places the organism in Eukaryota, Metazoa, Arthropoda, Insecta, Diptera, Sciaridae. The record is from RefSeq and is a predicted model, not a curated record.